Molecule: ribosomal RNA, 394 nt
Filed under: Aureococcus sp.
Lineage: Eukaryota; Pelagophyceae; Pelagomonadales; Pelagomonadaceae
Description: partial small subunit ribosomal RNA
Rfam family: Eukaryotic small subunit ribosomal RNA
Source: RNAcentral
AUUCCAGCUCCAAUAGCGUAUAUUAAAGUUGUUUCAGUUAAAAAGCUCGUAGUUGAAUUCCUGGCACGGGGUAGCCGGUCCGCCUUGCAAAAGGUGCGCACUGAGCGGCCUCGGCCAUCCUUGCGAUGGUCUAUCCUGGCAUUCAGUUGUCGGGGUGGGGAUUCGCGACGUUUACUGUGAAAAAAUCAGAGUGUUCAACGCAGGCUUACGCCUUGAAUACAUUAGCAUGGAAUAAUGAGAUAGGACCUUGGCGGUCUAUUUUGUUGGUUUGCACGCCGAGGUAAUGAUUAAAAGGGACGGUUGGGGUUCUUCGUAUUCAAUUGUCAGAGGUGAAAUUCUUGGAUUUAUGGAAGACGAACUGCUGCGAAAGCGUCGAACAAGGACGUUCUCAUUA